RNAcentral lists this ribosomal RNA (253 nucleotides) under uncultured bacterium. RNAcentral describes it as "partial 16S ribosomal RNA". It matches the Rfam family "Bacterial small subunit ribosomal RNA", at positions 524 to 776 of the family's 1533-position model. The record is from RNAcentral.
GACAGAGGGUGCAAACGUUGUUCGGAAUUACUGGGCGUAAAGCGCGUGUAGGCGGCUAAGUAAGUCGGGCGUGAAAUCCCACGGCUCAACCGUGGAAGUGCACUCGAAACUGCAUAGCUAGAGUCCUGGAGAGGAGACUGGAAUUUACGGUGUAGCGGUGAAAUGCGUAGAUAUCGUAAGGAAGACCAGUGGCGAAGGCGGGUCUCUGGACAGUUCCUGACGCUGAGGCACGAAGGUCAGGGGAGCAAACGGG